UGAAAUCUCGGGGCUCAACCUCGAAACUGCGUCUGAAACUGCUAGUCUAGAAUGUCGGAGGGGGCAGGGGAAUUUCACGUGUAGGGGUAAAAUCCGUAGAGAUGUGAAGGAACACCGGAGGCGAAGGCGCCUGCCUGGACGACUAUUGACGCUGAGGCGCGAAAGCGUGGGGAGCAAACAGGAUUAGAUACCCUGGUAGUCCACGCCGUAAACGAUGAGCACUAGUUAUUGGAGGUAUUGACUCCUUCAGUGACGCAGCUAACGCAUUAAG
This 271-nucleotide ribosomal RNA is filed under the name uncultured Peredibacter sp. RNAcentral's name for it is "partial 16S ribosomal RNA". It matches the Rfam family "Bacterial small subunit ribosomal RNA", at positions 595 to 864 of the family's 1533-position model. Lineage: Bacteria; Pseudomonadati; Bdellovibrionota; Bacteriovoracia; Bacteriovoracales; Bacteriovoracaceae. The record is from RNAcentral.